UUUAUGUAGCUUACCAAUUCUAAGAAGACAAAUAACUAAUAGAAUAUAAAGUGUCACCUUUGCAGUAUUCAUUAAUGUCUUAAAUGGAGCUGGGACUUUUAUCAAUGGCAUAUUAUGUCUUGGUUUAUAUUUGCGAGCCUGCAAACAUCUUGAAUAAUGUUUAAGUCUAUUACUAUAGCAUGAUCUUGAUGAUAUGUUAAAGAUACUUUUGACAGAUUAAAUUAAAUAUAUAGACUUACUAAGCAUGUACAGGGUUUUUGAUCUUCAAAUAAGGAAUACAUUUUUUUCUCAAGUGCUGUACACUAAAUGUAUGAUGUGAUUUCUAAGCAAAUUUUAUUUCAGAUAAGAAGCUUGUAAGAAAGAUAAAAAUAGUUUUAUGUAAAAACUAUAAGUUUUUACUAGUAGUUGGAUGAAAGGUGAAUUUAGGCUAUACAAACAUCUGUAGCCUGAGUUUAUGGUUCCUCUAACUAUUUAUUAGAGGCAAAUACAUAAUGUAAUUUGACCUCUGGAUGUAAGGAGAUUAAGUUUGAAUUCUACUAUCAGUGUGGUUAUUUGAAAUUGAACCAUCAUUUUUAUAUAGUCUUAAGUAUCAAACGUGACUUUGCAUGGGUUAUGUAAUAUAACUGUCCUCAUUGUCUUGAGAUCAAAAGUACAGACAUACACUCUUGACAGACUAGAAAAAUUACCAUAUUUUUGUAGAGCGGUUGUAAUACAAAUCUAACUAUCUUGAUUUCUUUUGUUCUGUCCUUAUCUGCACACACUGUAGAUGUUUUCUGAACACUAUAGUCCUGGUUUUUCUGUUUUUGGCCAUUCCAGGUGGCUUCUACCUAGGAGAGCACAUCUUUAGGCCAAGAGAGCUGGGUGUAUGCCCAGUGUUGGCAGCCUACCUGGCUUAAACACAAAUAGUUUAACCAAGCGAUUCUUGCAAACCUAACCAUUUAAGUUGAUCACUUAGAGAACCUAGCCAUUUAGAUGAUUUGAAUGAAGAUGCAAUUUCUGUGUGGUUUAUGAAUAAAAUUAUAUCAUUAUCAUUACCAUUAGUAACAAUUCUUGGUUUCAACUGUGUAGAAGAUAAUUUGGCAAAUUACAAAGGAAAUGGAAGAAGUUCAAGGUAAGGUUGAGACGGAACUAGCAUUACAAUGUUUUACAACACAAACAAACACACUCUGUAAUCAUCUAUAUAGCCAAUUAAAGCUUUAAAAAUGUGUUCACACACACAGAGCUAAGGGAAUUAAGGAUGUGUCCUUGGAGAGAUCAGGUGGCAUUUGCUUGGAAAGGCAUCACCAAGUAGAGGAACACUCAGUUCUCAAGUACUGAAGGAUACUGACUUUUCCUGCGCUAACUCUUUUAUACUUAGAAUCCUGUGCUUGGAAAGGAUGGAGCAAACCCAUAGCUCAGUGCUCAUAUUUCAACACUGGCAUGAAGAUCCAAGAAUUAUAGGAUGUCACUUAUUUAUACACAGAUUAAAAUUAGGGCUAUGGUGGGUGCUAAAAAAUUCUUCUAUAUGUGUUUCUAAGGCUGUAUUAUAAUCUAAGGUGACUAAAACCUUACCCACAUUAACUAUUCUAAAUAUCCUAUGUUGCCUGCCUCAUGCCAACAGCCUCUCUCCAGCUGUUAGUACAGGUAGCAAUCUGUUAUAGAACAGUAGGGUCACCUAAGGACCUGCAGCCUUGGGGCAGAUUCAUCCUUGCCCAAGGCUCAGUGAUUCUGGCUCGCAAUGACCCUCAAGUCUGUCAUGUCAGCUGCUUACUUGACAUCCUACUUACUACCUCUUGUCAGUUUAGGGCCUUCAAGACAUAGAUGCCAAAAUGGGGCUAAGCAUGUAAGGGAUUUACUGGGGGAAAUGUUUGUGGAGGAUAAGGAAGAAAACAGAAGUAGGCAAGGGGAGCCUUCAGAGCCCAAUGUGGGUCCAGUGCCCGUAAGAGGAGAGAGAGGACAGAUUGGGUGGGAAGAGUCUCCAGUUGCAACACAAUUCUGAGACAGUCUCAGGUGGGCUGAUGAAAAUCCCUGAGCAGGAGUUGCCCACUAGAGGAGUGUCCUAUAUGGAACAGGAACCGGCUGGCUUGAGUAGGCAGCCCCAGGAGGAACAUGGUCUCCCAGGAGCCACAGGUGCAGCAGUGGGCAGUGUUGGGCAACUCUGCUCCUUGUGGCAGGUUCCCUUAAUCUGAGUGGCACACCCAGAGUAAUAUGUAUUUAAAAUAAUUUUCCUUUACAGGUUUGCCCUUCCACCUAUAUUUUCGAUCUCAGUCAAUGGCAACAUCACGCCCCAGGCUACCCAGAAACCUGGAAUCAUCCUGAUUUUCUCCCUUUCCUUCACACCCUUCAUCAUUACAUCUCAUUGACUUUACAUUCCUGAUACAUUGCCCUACCCCUUGUUCCAUUUCCACCAUCACUUGCCUUGAUUCAGGUCUUCAUUAUCUCUGCUCCUGACUGCUGUUAGCCACCUUCUAAUUGGCUGUCUCACUCCGGGCCAACUCCCUUUCUUUACCCUCACUAGUUCUUUUUCCAUACUGUAACCUGCACUGCAUGAUCUUUUAAAAAUCCAAAUCUUGUCACAUUUGUCUUCUGCUUAAAAUUCUUCAGUGCCUCAUUAUUUCUUAUAGGAUAAAAUCAAGGCUACUUAGUAUGGUGUAAUGUGUUUUACCUUGUGCUACUACUAUCCUCAUUUAUCCUGUAUUCUGGUUCUCAGGAUUUCCAAAGUUGGUCAGGAGACUUUUUGCCAGUGGGCUUUUGCACAUGUCAUUUCCUGUGUAUGACAGGUCUUCCCUUCUCCUAUUUGACAAACUCAUAAUUAGGAAGGCUCAGAUAAUUCUUUCCUGAGCUCUCUGAGAGGUAGAACUUCCUAUUUUUGAGUUGCCUACUGAAGCCUCUGUUAUAGCACUUUUACUGAACCUCUGUUAUAUAGCACUUGGUCUGCCUUCAUAGUGCCCAGGUACUUAAUAAAUGAGUGAAUGAAUGAAUGAAUUAGCUAUAACAUAACCCUAUUGGCUGACUUAAAUUUGCUCAUUAGCGAUGAUGUUGUAUUUCUGAUCAUCAGUCAGUUGACUCCCUUCAGGACCUAAUAUAAUGUUCUAUUCAAGGUAUCACAUUAAAAAUUUUCAGGAGCAUCUUCAUGAAUCUUUGCAGAAUUGGAUUAAUGGGUAAUAUGGUUUUUAUAAACAGUAUUGCAUUAAUAUAUAUGGAAAUUUGUGUAAUUCUACCACUGUUUUAAGAAACCUAUCAAACUACAGUCUGAGGCAAUAUAUUUAAUAUACUAGUUGGAGUACUACAGCACAUAUAAUUACUAAUGUGAGAAUAACUUAUUAACACAUUUUAAACAUUUUACAAGUAACAUGAAUAAUUUUCUUCCAGAUAAGACUAAUAAAUUUUCUACAUGUUGAAUAAAAAUAACUCUUGAAUAUACCAGUCUACUUCAGAUGUCUUCAAAAUUCAGAUUUGAAUGUCAAGUUUGAAUGUCAUUUGUUGCCCCUAGGGGAGGCAUACCACCACUUCGAAAGCACACAAGUUCAUACUUGGCUCCUUGACCCAAGGCCUUCAUUUAGACUCUUGUCAUUUUUCAUCUAGAUUGUUCCAAUAAUCUUCUAAUUAGCUUGUAAGGUCACCAGUUCUUCAGCUACUGCUGUCAGAUGUAGUUCUUAAAUAUCAAAUCUGAUCAUGUCAAUUCCUGUUCUAAUAAUCUUUAUUAGCUCCUCCUCACCUUAUAGAACAAAGGUCAAUGUUGCACAUAAAUUUAAUUCCAACCUACUUCUUCAGGCUUAUUUUCUAUAGUUCCCCUGCGUGCACCUUGUGUAAUGCUGAUUAUAAUCCCUAAAGACACAAUCCCAAAUGCAUGAUCCUGAAUGUUGAAAUCUCCAAAGAACAAACUCCCUUACAUCUAACUGAAUUUCCAAACCAUAAUGAUAGAUUUGGAAUUAGGUGCCAUCAAAACUUCUAAAGGUGGAUUUCAAGGUGUUACCAACAGUUUCCUUUUCCAUUCAGCUCAAUACAUUUGCCGGAAAAGUCAGAUGAAUGGAUUGCCUGUAGAAUAUAGUAACAUGGAAAACUUCAGUUUAUAAUGCAUUAUUUGUCUGCAUUGGCAUUCCUUCUAGCUGAUGAAAUUCUAGGAGCUCUUCAUGAGUUAAAGCUGAAUUUGCCUGAUGAAGCCAGCAAAGUUACUGACUCUAAAAUAACUAUGUGCACGGUAGGAUAAGAAGGCACCCAAUGAUGUUGCUGUUCGAUCACCAAUAUUGUUUCAGCCAAAUCUGUGGUCUGUAUAUGAGUACAUGAGCAAAGGAUUUCCGUGUGCCCAAAACAACAUAGAAGCAUGACACAGAAGAUAGGAAAUUUAAUAGGAAAUGCUCAUGUGAGUGUAUAUUGAAUCAAACUAGAAUUUCAAAAAGAGCAGCAUCAUGUAGAAAAUCAGUGUGAAUGUAUUCUUCAAGAAGAGCCAUGUCCUAAAAGAAAAGAAACAGUUACUCAUCUCCAUGCAAGACUUCAGAAUAGAGUUAAUUAUUAUGGAAGUCGGCCAGCUCUUAUGGGCUACCUCCGUGCAGUUACCCAUAAUUUAUCCCUGUAAUACACUUUUUCAUAUGUUGAAUUUUCUUUUUAGUUUCUUUGGGAAGGUUUUGUUUUUCUUUUUCCUUUUUUAAAGUUUUUUUCCUCACCAUUUUAAAUCAUCAGCAUUAUUUUUUACAAUUCACUAUGGUAUGCUACAUGUUUCAUCUUUACACUUCCAAAUCUAGAGGUAUAAAUUGUAUGAGCUUUUAGAGAGUUCUAAUUUGUUUUAUGCACUUUUUUUUUUGCAAAUUUGACUCCAUGGAAGCACAUUUUAAUAACACUGACUUUGUGUGUAAGCAUUGUGUAUAUAUAUGUAAAAACCUUAAAACUUCCUCAAUGAAUAAAGGGAUGUCCUUUUUCUGCAUGUGCAUUUGUGAAAGAUAACAUUUUUCAAGAUCUCAGCUCUUUAGGCAACUGUAUAUGUGGUGGUGACUCAUUGUUGGUAUUUAAUUUUAAUUUUUUUAGCAAGGGGUGUCUCACUAUGUUGCCCAGGCUGGGCUCUAACCAUCCUUCCACCUCAGCUUCCUGAGUAGCGGGGACUACAGGCAUGAGCCACUGCAUCCAGCUCCACUGUAGGUUUGGAUCAGUUUCAUCAAAAGACUUAGGUUGUUCAUCAGGAUAUUUCAAGUGACCAAACUAUAUAAGUGAUUUCUUUAUGAACACAAUUUUUCUACUCAUAACUGUUAUGCCCGUGUAACUGUGGGUAGCACACCUGAGUGCUUAUCAUUGCAAAAUUAUGUAUAUUAUUAUUGCCAAUUUUAUUGUAUAAAGUAGCCCACAAAGUGUUCUGUUGUGUUUUUAUGUUUCUAAACUCUUUUAAAAAUGUAAAUAUGUUUUAAAGAACUUUUAGAAUUAUUUUUAUCAGAAUUAUGUAUUUGGGGUUUUGAUCUUUCAGGAUUCAACACUGGGGAUUAUGGCGUCAGAAACUGUGUCUUUUGGGAUUCUGGCCCAAACCCCUAGCCUUGUACCCUCGCUCCAUAGAUCUUCUAACAGCUCCUGGGCUUACAUAUCUCAUCUUUUAUGAUACUUCUCCUGAUUCAACCAACCAGUGGUGCUUCCCAUAGCAUUUUAGAAAGACCUGUUUUAUAGCAUUUAUCAAGGUAUUGACAUUUGUUUAGUUGUCUGCCCCUUCCGUGAUCCCAGUAGCAAACUUGUAGUACAACUAAUUUAGGUUCUUUGUUUUUCCACUUGCAUCCUAAGCAAUCUCAAUAAAAGAUGCAUUUUCUUUCUUUUGUAAAGACAAAAUGUAGCAUUGUUUGGUUUACUUGAUUAGAGUUACAACCUCCGUACAUUCUUGAAACUAAGAAGACCAGCAGUCAGAGAAUAUUUGUAGAAUCUUCUCAAGAAUUGGUUUCAACAUAAGGGUCCAAGACCUUGGCAUUGCUAAGAUUUUCAGAAUUCUGUCUUUUAAGUUAAGCCUGUGACUAUUUACUAAUUUGAAAAUAUCUUUAACUUCUUUUUUUUAAUCUGUAGGCAUUUCUAAGAAGCACAUGACAUUCAUCUUUGAAUAGAAGAUUCAUUUGAAUGACAGUUUCUUUCAUUUAGUAGAGGGGAUUUUACUUUAAAUUUUGCUGACAGGUUUUCAUGACAGCCCUCAAAUGGAAGCUUGAAUUCACUUGUCAUAGCUAUUAAAGAGUUGUUUUUUUGUUUUUGUUUUUGUUUUUUUUUGGUGGGGGAUGCAUUUCCGUGAUCUGGUCCUUCCACUUAUUAUUGCUAUUAUUGACCUUAAAGGUAUAGAAGAGAAGAAUAUAGACAAAGCCUCUAUUUUUGAAGGCUUGCUGAAGGCCAGCAUUGAAGUUAAUUCACUGUUGAAUUUUCCUCUUAAAAUUCAUCAUCAUAAUGUGGCAGAAUCUUGCUACUUUUCACUUUAUACUUGAAACCCCUUUAAUUCUCAGGAGAACAAGAGCAUCUGGUAGAUUGUAUUCACUAUCAGCAAAGACUGAAUAGCAGGAAAAUGGUGUUAAGACUUUUUUUGUAUCAAAAGCAUUAAAAUAGAUAAGCCCAAGAUAGCAACAUAAUUGUAAUACUCUGUCUUGACUGUGUUUUAUUUACAAUCUAUUUUAAUAUUUGUGUUUUUUUUUUUUUUUUUUUUUUUUUUUUUGAGACAGAGUCUCGCUCUGUCGCCCAGGCUGGAGUGCAGUGGCGCAAUCUUGGCUCACUGCAAGCUCCGCCUCCCGGGUUCACGCCAUUCUCCUGCCUCAGCCUUUCUGAGUAGCUGGGACUACAGGCGCCCGCCACCACGCCCGGCUAAUUUUUUUGUAUUUUUAGUAGAGACGGGGUUUCACCGUGGUCUCGAUCUCCUGACCUCGUGAUCCACCCACCUUGGCCUCCCAAAGUGCUAGGAUUAGAGGCGUGAGCCACCGCGCCCAGCCAAUAUUUGUGUUUUAAUAUUAAAUUCACCAAUAAAAUAGUGUUCUAAAACUAUAGUAGAUAGCUUUUAUCUGAAGAUACAGUUAUCAGAGUUUUCUGCUUUUCAUAUAGGGAAGUCGAUGUACAGAAUCUUGUAUAAUAUUAUCUGGUUUUUGUUAUUUUCCUGGGGGCUAAGUGCUAGAUAAUGAGGAAAGAAUAUAUGUGGAAAAAUUAUUCUUGAGAAAUAUAUAUUAAAAUUCCAUUGUAUGACAAUGCUAUUAAUUUUUGUAGGAAUUGCUCUUCAAAUCUUAAAAACCAGAGUAUCUACUAAUUCACCAGUCUUCUCAAUAUUUGGCUCAUAUUCAACAACUAAAUAAGCAUGCAGUUUAAGGGGCAUGUUCUUUGUAAAUUAUUUGGAGCAUAGAUUUUUUCCUUUUUAUUACAACAAGGCUGCUGUAGGGAUGCCUUUAUAAUAGGGCAGCUCUUUCCAUUACAUUCUAAUUUGGAGAUUCUUAUUAUCAACCUUGAAAUGGGUGGUGUUAUUGUUAGAGCUUAAUAUUAAACAUGUCUUGAUUUACAUACAUAAUUACCAUUAAAACUAUCACCUCAAGGCCGGGUGCAGUGGCUCACGUCUGUAAUCCCAGGACUUUGGGAGGCUGAGGUGGGUGAAUCAAUUGAGCUCAGGAGUUGGAGACCAGCCUGGGCAACAUGGUGAAACCCCGUCUCUACGAAAAAAAUAACAAAAAUUAGCCAGGCGUGGUGGCGCAUGGCUGUAGACCCAGCCACUCAGGAGGCUGAGUCACGAGAAUUGCUUGAACCCAGGAGGCGGAGGUUGCAGUGAGCCGGGAUUGCGCCACUGCACUUCAGCCUGGGUGACAGAACCAGACUCUGUCAAAACAAAACAAAACAAACAAGAAAGACAAAACCCUCAAAAAACAAAACAACAACAAAAAAACCAAAAAAACUAUUACCUCAAAAUCUUUAAAUAGAAGUUCACACUGGAAAACAGCAACCAAUGUUUUAAGAUGGAAAUAAUUGUGUGUUUAUGUGUAUAUGUUUGCUUUUAAAAUUUUACACUUUUAGACAAAUUAUUUUUUUCCUUGUCAUAAAGAAAUUGCAUUUUAAUCGUCAUUCUUCUAAAAGAAUUUUUUAUGAUUUUAUCAGCAUGAUACUUACAAAGAGCAUAUCCCCCUUUAGACAAAUUAUUUUAGGCAGCCAAGUUUAGUUUAUUUGGGUUUCAUGCUAUAAAUUAUGCUAAUUUAUGAAGGUUACUUCUUGUUGGAUGCUUGUAUUAUUCAUAUAAUAUUUAAAUGCAAAAGAGAAUAUUAAUAUAAAGCAUUAUCAAUUAAAUUUUAUUCAACCAGAUGUUUUCUGUGAUACAUGAUCAUCUUAGGUGUAUAACUAAUUUUGCAUUACCAUUUAUGAGUGAUAUAGUUGUGUUCUUUUUAAAGUGUAUAUGCAAUUAGUAGUGGUUAUAUUCAUUUCAUGAAAUCUCUUUGAAGGUCGUUUGUUUUAGGAGUAUAAGUAAUUUUCAUUAUAAUAUAUUCAUAUAUUUUUAAAUCUCAUUUCCAUAUGAAGGUAAAGAUGGGGUCAUUCUUAGAAUGAAAUAACUCCUUUUCAGAAGGACACAGUCAAAAGCUAGGAAUUCAUUUGUUAUCCCUCUGCAGUUGUUAGGACAGGAACACUAAUCUGGCCAACUUACCUUUAAAAGAGCAUACAAAGUCAAAGAUGUCGGGUUGUACCAGUAAAUAUUCACCAGCAAAGUUUUUAUAUCAAAGACUGGAACUUUCGAAGAUGCUCCUGGGACUUAGUGUACUCUAACAUCUAUUAAUUCCUGAUACCUUAAGUGACUUGUCAUAGAAGUGCUACAUUUACAAGUAGUAUACAAGGAGGCCCAAGAGAACAAAUUCAGUUAAAGGCCAAGGAAGCAAUUAACGUUCUCUACUUUUCCCUAAAGAACUUCCAUAGCAAAUGUUGCCCUCCCCCUGCACCCCCAAUCUUAGCAAGGCAAGUGCAUAUAGUGAAAUGGAAGUUAAAGUUCAAAUAAAACAUGUUUCCAAUAUUAUUUGGUUCUUAGAGCUCUUCCUGAAUGUGAAUGCAUACAGUUGUUUAAGGUGAAGUACAGUGAAAAAUAUUAGAAGAGAUGGCUCUUGCUGAAAAAUACCAAAUUUCUAUUUCUUUGUUUCCCCUGCAUCUCUGUCAAGGGUCAGUGUUUGCAGUAGUGGUAGAAGUGGGUGGUAGGCUGGGUCCUUCCUGUGUAUAUGGUUAAAUUGGAGUGCUUUUGAGGAGCACAUGAUUCUGUUUGUAUUUUAAGCAGGACACACACACACACACACAGACACACACACACGCAUGCACCCCAACCUUCUAUUUUCUAGUCCUUCAAAUUUUGAAAACUCUUGUGUUCACUCAGGUCUUUUCUUCUUUUUGAUGAACAUGUUGAACUCCCCGAAACUGUCCUUAUAAGGCCAAGUUUCAAGAUUUCUCACCUCCCAGUUGCUACAGUUUCUAAGUGUCCCUCUAAAGUGGGCCUUCCCUAAUUGGAUGUACAAGUAUAAUCUGACUGGUGUAAAAUAAAGCCUCUACCUCCCUGAUUUUGGAAAUUAUAUUUUUAAUGUGGGCUAGGUGCACUGAUUUUUUGAUGGUCAUAUUAAACUUUUGACUUAUAUUGAGCUUGUGGCCAAAUAAAUGUAUCUGUCUGUCCCCACCCCCUACACAGUGCUGCUAAACUCAGGCUGAAUAUGGUCUUUAGACUUAUCUUUAUUAAAUUUCACAUUGUUAAGACCAAUCCAUUGUUAUAACUGAAGACAUUUUCCUUCACAUUUAGUUUUCUGUUAUACUUGUUGUCCCCAUCACGUUUAUAUAUUCUGAAAAUUUUAUUAUACUUGUAAUGUCAUCAGUUAGUCAAACCAUUGACAAAACUGUUCAUCAAGGCAAAGCUGAGAACACACCAUUUAUUAGAAAUGUCUAUCCAGGUGGGCACCAAAGCCAAGAGCCUUGGGAGUACUGUGGAAAAGCACUUUCAUCCAAUCCAACAAUUCUUCAUAGGGAUGCCAUGAGAUACCACAUGUUUGUGUCUAUGGAUUUCCAAUUUUUCCAAGGGCAGGGACCAUGUCUAUUUGGCUAGCUACUAUACUCAUCACUCAGCACCGUGCCUGGGACACAGAACAACUAGAAUUGCACUGGGACGCCAAUAUGAAGAGAGACCAGAGAAGACUAUGAUGACAAGCAGGUGGUCACAGAGAUCGUGGCAAGAUGUUUUAUUCCGACUCUGAUAACAACUACUUCCUGGGAAAGUUUUCAUUUUAUUGGUCAUGAGAUUCGAAUUACUGAGGCCAUGGAUUGUUAUGGUGCUGUUGUUUGGCCAUCGGUAUAAUUUCAUACAGAAUUUGUUACAUUCCAAUUAUUUUUCCAGUCAGUUUUGUUCAUUAUUAUGUUCUAUUUGGAAGAAGAAAACAGAUUCCAUAUUCCUUCUUUGUGACCUCAAAUAGUACUAUGUUUUAGAAAUUGUGUGACUGGGAAAUUAUGUCUCCCAAUUAAUUCUGUAAUUCUAUUUCUUUCUUUUUUUUUUUUUUUUGAGACAGAGUCUUGCUCUGUCACCUAGGCUGGAGUGCUGGGCUUGAUCUCAGCUCACUGCAACCUCUGCCUCCUGGGUUUAAACGAUUCUCCUGCUGCAGCCUCCUGAGUAGCUUGACUACAGGCGUGCACCACCACGCCAAGCUAAUUUUUGUAAUUUUAGUAGGAAUGGGGUUUCACCAUGUUGGCCAGGCUGGUUUUGAACUCCUUGCCUCAAGUGAUCCAUCCACCUCUGCCUCCCAAGGUGCUGGGAUUACAGGCAUAAGCUACCACGCUGGGCCUCAAUUAAUUCUAUUUCUGACUUUCUUGAAAUUUGUAGGAUUAAUACAGGAUGUUGUUUACUUCUUCAGUUUUUAAAAUAAGAGUUUAGAGCAGUAAACUUUUUUAUUUCCCCUUUUAUUAGCUCCAUUUGAGUUAAACGAUUACAAUGAAAUCUAUAUGAGUCUCACAUGUAGAAUGUCCUCAAAGACCCUCAAUCCUUUACCAACUGUCCCAUGAAGAGUAGUGGACCCACCACCCCACCUGCCCCAAUCGCACACACCACUUGGAAAUGACUAGUAUUAUCAGAAGUUGCUUCCUUUAAAAAUGAUCAAACCUAAGCGAUUGAACUCCACAUUUUUAGUUAUUUCUCUUUCCCUCUCAAUAAUCCCCAAGGAAUUUUUCUAGCAGAAAUGUUGAACCUCUCAGAGGAUGCACUUUGGUUGAUAUUUUUUGGAGUGAUGUACAGGUACACACAUGGGUACUCUCACGUACUCAUGUGCACGCAUACAUAUCAUAUUAUUAGCAGCAUAUUUAUCCAAUAAAGUUUAAUUUUACUUUCUGUUAUUACUUGCCAAGUAUCCCUUUUUUCUUUUUUCUAACUUUCAUAGGCCCUUGUUCUAUGCUAUUUCCUGGAAACAAAUGCAAAGCAGUAUAAUAUGGUUGACAAAAACGUGAUUGAAAUUGGAGCUGGAACAGGGCUAGUCUCCAUUGUGGCAAGUUUACUUGGUAAGCAGAUAUUUUUGAUUGAAUAGAGGGAGUGUCAGAGAAUUUAAUGAUCAAAUAUUAGUUGUUUUACUAUCCAGUGUACUAUGACCUGCGCCUAUCUGUGACUCCUUAACUGUUUGAAUGGCCUUCAUCUAGAAACUACAGAUUUUAAAGUCUCCUUACCAGUUUCUUUCAUAGUUUUCUGCAUUAAGUUGUGUUAAUUCCGGUCUCUUUCAUAGUUUUCUGCAUUAAGUUGUGUUAAUUCUUCUUGUGGAAUACUGUGACAAGCCUCAGAUGAAGUGUUCUAAAUAAGAGGUGCACGGAAGCAUUCUGGUUGCAAGAGGAGAAAUGUGAAAUACCAGGCAGAGGCAGAUUCUAUUGCUGCUGAUUCAGAUGCACUUUAGAUUUUAGCGCCAUUUCAGUGUUCCCAUGUAGCUGUAGAUUCCUUUUGAGUUUUGAAGUGCUAUGCUUUUAUGAAAAAGCACGUGUCAGAAUAGGGAGAUAAUAUUAGAAAUCACAUAAAAAUCACACGUCUGCUUCUAUUUUCAGGUGUUUGUCCUUGAAUUUGUUUUCUCAGUUCAUUCAAUUCUUUUUUUUUCCCUCUGUCGCCCAGGCUGGAGUGCAGUGGCGCGAUCUCCGCUCACUUAAACCUCUGCCUCCUGGGUUCAAGCAGUUUUCCUGCCUCAGCCUCCCCGAGUAGCUGGGACUACAGACAUGCACCACCAUGCCCAGCUAAUUUUUUGUAUUUUUAGUAGAGACAAGGUUUCGCCAUGUUGGCUAGGCUGGUUUCGAACCCCUGACCACAGGUGAUCCGCCCACCUGGGCCUCCCAAAGUGCUGGGAUUACAGGCGUGAGCCACUGCGCCUGGCCUAUCUCCAUUCUUUUUUAUUGUGACCCUGAGUUCUCUCACCAGCAUCUUUUCCAACUGAGCAUGUGAUAGUUUUUAAUGUAUGCCUGAGCCUGUUUCAGUUCAGUCUUUUUGUUAUUGUUAUGUAUCUCAUUGCCUUAGUUUAGCUCCUUCUCUGAUGUGUGCUACCCAGAUCCAUCCUGAUUUCCUUGAUCUUCAGAAGUGCACGCCUGCCACUCUAAAAUCUUGAGAGGAAUUGAACAUUUAGCAAUUUAUGACUUUCAAAUACUAGAGAUUUAUAAGACUCUUGGAGUCUUCCCAAAUAUAUUUUUUAGAAGUUGCUGUGUCCUGAUAUUGUUUUCCAAAGUCACUAUUCCAUUUAGUAAGGAUAAGUCAGAGUCACUAUUCGAUUUAUACCUGAAAGCCUUACUUAGGAGCAGAAUUUGUGCUUUGGGGAGUCAUUUGUUUUUUUAAAAAGAAUUGGUCCCUUGAGUCCGCUUGUCUAACUUGAAACAAAUAUUAAAAUAUAGAAACUUUGUUUAGUCAGUAUUCUGAAAGUGGCAGUGUUUAUCUCUCUAGGCACAAAGAUAUUAAGUAUAAGGGAGAGUUUACAUUCAAUAUGGGCAAAGGUAUAUUCCUUACUCUGAGAUUUAAGAAAGAUUUGUUGAAAAUGAUAGACCCACCCAUAGUAGAAUGUAAAGGCUUAUAUCUCUGUGAGUGUACCAAUAUGAUAGGCAUAUUCCCCUCCCAUUUUAAUAUUUUCACAAAAUACAAUUGAUGCCAAGAGACUUGUGAUAUUGCAGCUGAGGAGUGGCUUCUGAUUUGGUCUGAGCUGAACUAGACUUCUCUUCCAUUUCUGCUUUCUUGUUCUUUACCUGGUCUGUGCUUUUCUGAUGCUGUAGAAUUGGACAAUCUUAGAUUAUUUGCAGAUUAUUUUUAGCCUUUGCUACUGCUCAAAGUUUACUUUAGUGACCAAAUUUCUACAAAUUUGCUUCUGCCGUAUUUCUUCCUCAAAAACCCAUCACUAUUCACUUCUAUCUGGAAAUUGUUUACAUCUUCAUCUAUGAGUGGUAGCUUUAUGAGCACUAUACACACGUUGUGACUAGGUUUUUAGCAUGUUUUGGUGGGAAGAUUUACACUUGUGAUGGGCCAAGUUGAAAACCUGGGCAUAGCAUGGAUGUCAUAAUACUUUUCAGUGAAUGCCAUUGAAAGGUCUUCUUUCUUCCCUCCACUUCUCACAUGAGCACUUCCUGUUCAACUAUAGGAUGUCUGAUGUUACAUACACUCAUUUGGUCUCACAUGACUGAGGCUCAGAAUUCUUUUAGGGAGGUACCUAUUCUUCCAUCAAUGACUUCUCAUUGGUCCAAUGAGGGUGCCAAAUAUUUUGACUUUCUCUUUCUCUCGAUUAUUUUUCUCCUGGUAUGUAGUAGAUAAAUAGCAAACAAAAGCAAUAGUAACAGCAAAACAUACCAGAACAAAAACCAGGAGAACAUAAAAAAUGCAAUGGUGCGCAAAAGUACCAUGGGUCUCUCUCUCUCUCUCUUUUUUUUUUCUUUAAGCAGAGGCAUAUAGCUGCUCUGCAUCCAUUUGAAUGGGAUUCCCUUUUUGUGUAGAGGUACUGAUGAGUGUUUUUUUAGGGGUGGAUGAAGAACUGUGCAGAAUUGCAAAGUGCAUGUUGGCUUGAAACUUUUGAUUGUUCUACCUUAUCUCAUGAGGGUUACUUUCUCUACUAUCCUUUGCUUCACAGGUGCUCACGUGACGGCCACAGAUUUACCCGAAUUACUUGGAAACCUGCAAUAUAAUAUUUCCCGAAACACCAAAAUGAAAAGCAAGCAUUUGCCUCAGUCUUUACUUACAUAAAGUCAUUUAAUCCUCACUACCUUUCUAAGAGGUGGAAACUAUGCUAUCCCUACUUCACGGAUAAAGAAACUGAGGCUGAGAUGUCCCCUGGCUACACAUCUGCAGAGUGGCAGUCAGGACAUUCAAGUCCAGGCCAGCACGGUAGCUCGCGUCUGUAAUCCCAGCAAUCUAGGAGGCCAACGUGGGAGGAUCACCUGAGCCGAGGAGCUUCAAGACCAGCCUGGGCAACACAGUGAGACCCUGUCUUUACAAAAAAAUUUAAAUAUUAGCUGCAUGUGGUGGUGCAUGCCUGUAGUCCCAACUACUUUGGAGGCUGAGGUGGGAGGAUGGCUUGAGCUCAGGAGGUCGAGGCAGCAGUGAACUGUGAUCAUGCCACUGCAUAGCAGCCUGGGCAACAGAAUAGGACUCUGUCUCAAAAAAAAAAAAAAAAAAGAAAAAAAAGAAAAAAAGUAAAAAACAGGAAUGUUUAAAAGCCUUCUUGACUUUCCUCUGUUUACAUUUGUAACAUAAACAUUGUUAAUACUCAUUUUAUCGUUAAUUUCCUGAGAUUCUGAGAGAAAAUACAAAGUAAGGACAUAGAAUAAAACCUUUGCCAGAUCUAGUUAGGAAGUAGUAAACAUUUUACUGUCUAGUUUUGAUACAGAUUAAAAACCAAAUGAAACAGCUUUUUGUGCAAAACCGUAUUUAAGCUGCUUAUAACUUUUAAAAAAUACUUUCUCCUUUUGGAAUUGAGUAAAACUCCUGCACAGUAGGGUAUUUGUUAACUUCAGUGUAAAAUUGAAAAAUUUACCUGGUUUUGAGUAUUUAAAAUGCCUGAGGGAAAGCCUGGGAAGAUGUGGUUUUCAGGUGCAUUUUGCAGUGGGGAAGUGACUACUAGCAUAGCUAUGUCCAUCCAUCUGUCCAUGCGGUUGAAAGGUGUGCUCUGGGUGCCAAAGGCAAAAUGAAUAAUGUACAGGCCUGGAUCCCCGAGGCCUGCGGCAGAGGAGGCAAAUAUCUGCAAGGCCAAGGCGGAGGGAGGGGCCGCUGCUGGCUCAGACCUGCCAUCUCACAUUCCCGUGAAAUGUGUUUCACCUUUCUAUCAUUGUUCAUUGUCUCUGGACCUUGAGUAGUUGCACAGGUUUCUGAGUCAAACUUUAAUAAGAAAACCAAAUGCACACUCUCGUUCUUAGGUGAGAUAAAAUCAAGAUUGCAUUUAAAACCUGGAAGUUAGGAGUGAAUGAAUGUGGAGCUUUAUCACUGAAAUGAUUUUUCAUCCUUAAUUCCAAGGUAGCCUUUGCUUUCUCAUUCACCAAAGGCACCGAAAACACAAACUAGACCUCUGAGAAAUGAUAAUAUUUUAAGGUCAUAGUUUCCUUGAUCUCUGCGAGGCUCCUCUGUAUUAAAGUAUUUUUUGCUAUUUUCUGACACAGCUCGGAAACAUGCCAUUUGUUCCUACCUUUAAGUAUAUAAUAGUUCAACAUAGUGAUGACAAUUUUGAGACUAUUUUGAUGGCCAAGUGUCUCUUUUCUGGAGUUAAAAGUAGAGGUUCUAGUCUUUCAAGAAACAUUUCAACCACUCAGUUGUCCUGGCUGAAAACACCUCCAUUAUUAUCAAGUCCAUUUUUCCUUUUAGCUUUUGAAUUAUUUCAUCAUCAAGGGUUAUCAAUUUUACCUCCUAAACUUUGCCCUUAAAAUAGCUAUCAAACAGUCUCCUGACUUUAUUUUUCUUCUGCUCCAACCCAUUCUCACAGUGUUAUUAAAAAUAUUAUAUAUAUACACAUAUAUUUAAUUGACAAAGUAUAUGUUUAUCGUGUAUAGCAUGUUUUUGAAAUAUGUAUACUUGUGAAACAGCUAAAUCAAGAUAACUAACAUACUCAUUCCCGCACAUACUUAUCAAGUUAUUGUGAUGAGAACACUUAAAAUCUACUAUCUCAGCAAUUUUCAAGGAUACAAUACGCUAUUAGCUACAGUCACCAUGUUGUACAAUAGAUCUCUUGAACUUAUUUCUCCUAUCUAACUGAAAUUUUUCAUCCCUUGACCAACAACUUCCAUACACUGUCUUUUUAAUUUUUUUUAAGUCUUUUAGUAUCAUUUGGAAACAUUCAUUUAGGCAAAGCUUCCAGAAGCACGCUCAAGGACUGAAUGGGGAAUGAAAGGGACACUGCUUUGUGGUUAAUUACAUUGUCUUCCUAGACAAUCUGAUCUUGUCACUGUCCUGGUUAAAACUUGUUUGUGGUACCCUGUUGCCUUAGGUUAGAGUCCAGACCUAUAUUCUAGGUAGAACACAGGCCCCUGGCCAAAUGAUCACAGGCCAAGCUCUCUUAGUCUCCAUCCUUUUUCUUUUCUUUUCCUUCCACCCCCUCUACCUCCUUUCUUCUCCACCCCAUCCCAUUUCCCUAUCAACCUGAUGCUCAGUGACUUCCUCUCCCUCAAACCCAUUCUUCAUCACAGCCAUUCUCUGCUUUGCCAUUGCUCUCUGAGCCUGGAAUACCCACCUCUUUCCCAUUUUGGUUCCCUGCUUACUCUUCAAAGACCCAGCUCAAAUGUCCCUCUAUAAAUUCCCAGAGUGGGCAGCCUCUUGCUCUGUACUCUCCAUGAUGUAGUCUAGGAUGGCUAUUUCACAUCUCUUUGUCUUUCUUUAUGUGUUCUGAUCUCUGCCUUUUCAACUAAACUGAACUUUAUGAGGCAGAGUCUAUGUUUUUCAUUUUGUGUACAAUUGCCUUGCAUUGGGCCUGGCAUGUCACAGAUGUCAAUAAAUGUUUGUCAGUUGAAUAAAUGAAAGUGUGUCACUUUUCUGGCUAAUGUCAUAUAUUUUUCAUUUUGCUCUAGGUCUCUAGAAAAGAGCAUCCCUUGAGCGGAGUGGAAUGAACUCAGUUAGUUGCUAUAAAGUCUAUACCUCUUCUAGCCUUUCAGUGAUGAUUCAUUUAUCCAUUCUUUCAUAUAACGCACAGUUGUUGAGCAUUUUCUAUCAGGUGUUUUACUAGCCAUUGAGAAUGAAAAGAUAUCUAGGCCAGAUAUCACAUCAGCUUGUCUUGGAGCCCUUCUAAGAAGGGAAAGGAGCUACAAAAAUCAGACUUGCCGCCUUACAUGAUCUGUGGCACCUGUGAGCCUUCUGGCAGUUUGUUUCUAGGCUCUUCUUUCAGUUUCAGCAAAAACUCAAGUGAGCUAAGGGCAGGACCAGUUGACGUAUCGAUCUAGUUAUAAAUUCUUCUAAAAGGUCCCUCCUGGCUUUGGUAAUGUCUGGGCUCGGACAUCUCUGCAAGGCUGAAUUAUUUCUAGGUCAACCAUUUUGAGGUUCCUUCCUUCCAGAUGAAUGGUUAAAAACUCAGAUAAGAAGUAUUUUUUUAAGUAAUGCAAGGUGGAAAGUGAAUGGCUUUUGUUUAGUUUCAAACCGAUUCCUCAUCUUAGGAAGACAGAAGAGCACAGAUGAUAUCCUGGUGCUGUCGUUUAUUUGUUGUGAAUUUGCUAAUCAAACGCCCACUCCCUUUUCUAUUCCUCUCUGCUCAGCCUUCAGAAGAGUGCUGGCAUCUGACUUAAGCGAAAGGGAGGAGCGAGUUUUCUAAGGUGGCAGAAUGCCAACAUCCCUUUGCCUUCUGUUGUCCUGUGAGGGAUGCCAAGUCAUCUGGUGGCUACUUGUAGCAAAGUAAAGGAUUAUUAAUUGUUCUCUGAUAAUUCUGUCAAGGAUUCUUUAACCCCUUGACUUAAAGUAGCUACGGUAGAGAUAUUAGAAUGACAAACCCAAGGGCACGUAGUAGAAUUAAUAUUCUGCAAAGACCAAAGUUUUGCACAGGUCCCAUUUUACCUGUUUUCACGUCACUCCCGUAUCUCUGGUGAAGUGGACAGGAUGAAUUGAUAGAGUAGCAAAGCGAAGACAAAUGACCACAUCUCUUCCCAGCCACGGGGUGACCCGGGUUGCACAGUAAUGAGAAUAAACAGCAGGCACUCUGAGGCUAAGGAGAGAAAAAUGCUGAUAGAGCACUUGCUUUGAUUGGAUUUAUAAUAUUAUAGGGAGAAAUGGAAAGCGAGAGGGAGAGAUAGGAAGGGGUGAGGCAAUACGGAGUGAGGACGGGAAGACCUAUUUAUGGCUGUUUCGUGGUCAUAACUCAGCUGCUUUGUUUUGCCCACUCAGUGAACUGAACUUCUUCAAUCCUUUUGUUUGACAGCCUCAGGGAAUAAAUUCCUCCUUAAUCCACUUCCUAGGCCCAGCUGAGGUAGUGGGAACAGAGCAGCUUCGCACAGAACCAAUAAGUUCACUUCCCAGAGGCGAAAGGGUAAUUUGUCCUGCCUGUUCACUCCAUCACUGACCUUGCUGUUCUGCGGGUGCCCAGGGUACCAAUUAGUGCUAAUUGCUGCCGAUGGUGGUGAAAGAUUCUGUGACAAGUCUCUGCUGAGAACAGGGCUGACACCUAACUCAUUUCAUGUAGAGCAUGCCCGUGAGACCAGGUACUUAGGGAUAGUACAACAGUAUGGAUGGGCGGGGAAGAAAGAUCCUUGGCAAGAGCACAGGCCUGUCCUGCUACAGUCCACUAACAGCUACUGAAAACCACAAUUAAUGUUUCCAGAAAGAGGAAUUUUGCUAUUGCUUCUCCAGAUCUUACUUUGAUGUGGAAGGAUCCAAAAGUAUCCCCAAAGUAAGAGUCAAUCUAAUUAUAUGUGGAGUACAAAUUCACUGCUUCACUUCUGCCUAGCAAAGCAGCCAGAGAUCUUUAUGCCCAGUGAAAUAAAUUUUUAACAGACUUGCUAUAAUGUGUCAAAGUUUCCUGAAUAAAGUUGAGCGAGUAAGCAUGGCUUUUAAGAUCUUUCAAUGUGAUGGACAAGAAAAUAUCCACGUAGAGAGAAGUAGGGCUGCUUAUUGCAGUUAGCCACAUUAUUGCAUCUGGAAAAUCCUCUCCAUGGGGGAUCAGUGGUCCUGGCAUCACACAUUUAAAUUAAUAUAAAAGAGGUGCUUUGCAUUAGCCAAGAAAAAGUUGAGAGUUUUCUGAUUUGACCACUGUACUCUUGAAAAAGGUAGUUCAUUUCGUAUCUAAAGUAGCCAGAGCUAGCUUCAACAAUUGCCAGCUACCAGUUAUAAAUAGCUUUCCUCUCUGAAACAAAGCCUCAUCUUUCAAAUUGCUACUUUCUUAAGGAAAAAAAAAACCCUGACAUUCUUUUAGCACUCGCCAGCUGUUCCAGAUGUUAUGAUUCCACAUCUAGGGCCACGUUCCGAACUAAAAAUAUAUACAUUAGCUUGACUUCCAACUUCUUCACUAAAGUAACAUCAUAAGUUAUCUUAUUUGUCCCUUUGUUAUGUCCUAGAAGUGUUGGUAAGUAGUUUUUAAGGGGAGAGAGAAUUUAAUCCUCAUUUUUUUCCGUGAAACCUCUUAUGACAAAUAGUAAAUUUCACUCAUAAAAUUGUAACCUAGUCCAUUAGAGUGUAGUCCAGACUUCUUUUUACUUAUACUGAAAAGUAACAAAAUAUCCUAUUGUUAUCAUAUUCACAAAACAAGAGAAAAUAAAUAAAUUGAAUAACAGAAACUUUUGAAAGUGGGACUUAAAAUAAUUUGAUUACAGACAGAUCUUGCUGGUGGUCUGAAAAGACUUGGAUGUUUCCAGAGCCCAUGGAAUCAAACAGUUCCUACUACGGCCACCAGAUGGCCCUAUGAGACCAGAGCUUUUCGUGUAGAUGCUGGCGGUGGUAGUGGUAGUGGCAGUAACUAUAGUUUCAGGAUGGGUUGGGAAUCAGGCAGAAAGCAGCAACCGCCCAGCCUUCACGUUGGCUGCAUCUCCUCCAACAGUUCUCCAUCUCAGACAUUCACCAGCUAGUGUGACAUUUUAAAAAUGGAACUUGGAUGAUCACAUUUUCUUGCUCAAAACUCUCGAAUGGUUUCUCAGUAUGUGUAGAAUAAAUUCCAGACUCCUUAUCCUGGUUUACAAAGCCCUACAUGAUCUGGUACAUAGUUACUGUUCUGACCUUACUGAGGCCCACUCUCCCUCUAAUCUUUUUUUGAGACGGAGUCUUGCUCUGUCGACAGGCUGGAAUGCAGUGGCGCGAUCUCGGCUCACUGCAACCUCCACCUCCCGGGCUCAAGCGAUUCUCCUGCUUCAGCCUCCCGAGUAGCUAGGACUAGAGGCAUGUGCCUCCACACCCGACUAAUCUGUGUAUUUUUAGUGGAGACAGGGUUUCACCAUGUUGACCAGGCUGGUCUGGAAUUCCUGACCUCAGGUGAUCCGCCUGACUCAGACUCCUAAGGUGCUGGGAUGACCGGCGUGAGCCACCGCGCCCGGCUGUCCCCCCUUAAUCUUACUCCAGCCACACAGCCUUUUCGUAUUUCUAUUUGUUUAUUUACUUUAAGUUCUGGGAUACAUGUGCAGAACCUUUUUGUGUUUCUUGAAGGAGCAAAGCUCCUUCAGAACUUGUGCAUUAAUUGUCUCAUUUGCCUCAGAUGCUCUUAUUCAUAUCACCAAAUGACUUAGAUCUUAUCCUUCAGCCCUCAAGUCAACAUCUGUGUAGAGUAAAGCCAUCCAAUCCAAGCAUUAACUCAGCUGCUCUCUGAUCUAUCACUUUAGUUUUCUGACUAAGCCUUAAUCGUGAUUUCUUUCUUCCUUCCCUUACUUUCUUUCCCCUUUUCUUUUCUUUUCCUUUUUUCCUUUCCGCCCUCCCUCCCUUUCUCUGCCUCUUUCUUUCUUUCGCUUUCCUGCCUCCCUCCCUCCCUCUCUCCUUCCUUCCUUCCCUCCCUUCCUUCCUUCCAUCUUCCUAUUUACUUAUCUAAUAUAUGAUCUAUGUAUUAUCAGUUUAUCUCCACUGGAAUGUAAACACCAUGAGAGCAGGAUUUUUUUAAAAAAAGUUCAUUGUUAUUUAUCUCAUCAUCAGGACCAUGGCUGUUCUUGUAUAGAGAAUGAAUAAAUGGAUGUUUGAGAUAUUUGUAAGUCAGGCAUUUAUAGUAGAAGUACGGUACAUCCACAGAUUACUAGCAUUUGGAUAAUUUGUAAUGGUAAAAUUUAUCAUAAAUUAGUUAAGUGUUUUCAUUUUCCAAACAGUUACUGAGCAGUAACUAAGUGCCAGGCAUUGUGAUGGGAACUAGAGAUAACCCAGUGCUGAAUGCUAGCAAGAAAAGUUAUGUUCUGAGAUCUCAGGCUCUAUUCCAAGGGCUUUUACAUAUUAUCUCAUUUAGUACCUACAACAAUAUUCUGAGACAAGUGCUUUAGUCUCUAAUUUCAUUUUACAGAGUAAGAAACAAAUUUAGUCAAGAUAAGUAAUAUACCCAAGAUAACAUGACUGUUGCAUUAUGGAACCGGACUCAACCUGAUAUGACAUAGUCCAUCCUGAAGGAAUCAACAAAGGCAAACAAUGGGACUAGACUCCAUGCAUGUCUGGCAAUAGAAGUAUCAGGCAGAGAUAACGGCAUGAUUAAAGACAUAAAACAAGUUACCAAAAUGUGAACAAGACUAUCAGAAUAGUCCAGAUGUAUCUAACAAAGAACCACAUAGAAUUUCUAGAAAGAAAAAAAUAGUAAUUGAAAUACAAAUCUCAGUGGAUAAGAUAAAGUCUAGCUAGAUUUAAAGAGAGUAGUAAACAGAUGAAGAGAGAAUUUGUGAACUAAAUGAUUGAUCUUAGGAAAUUUCAAGAUUACAGCACAGAAAGAUUAAGUGAUGGAACUAUAUUAAAGAGAGGUUGAGAGAUGUGGACAACAGAAUUAGAAGGCCCGAUAUAUUUCUAGUAGAUAUUCUAGGUGAAAGAAGAAAAAGAAGGGAAAGGCCAAUAGUUAAAGAGUUGAUGGCUAAAACUUUCAGAAAAUUGAUUAAAGCCAUAAAUUGACUAAAUUUCUUUCUUUUUUAAAAAAAAUUCUAUGUUAGGUUCAGGGGUACAUGCACAGGUUUGUUACAUAGGCAAAUUGCAUAUUGUAAGGGUUUGGUGUACAAAUAUUUCAUCACCCCUGUAAUAAGCAUAGCACCUAAUAGGUAGUUUUUCAAUCCUCACCCUCCUCCUACCCUCUGCCCUCAAGUAAGCCCUGGUGUCUGCUGUUCCCUGCUUUGUAUCUCUAUGUACUGAAUGUUUAGCUCCCACUUACAACAAAUAUGCAGUAUUUUGUUUUCUGUUCCUGUGAUAGUUUGCUUAGGAUAAUGACCUCUAGCUCCAUUCAUGUUACUGCAAAGGACAUGAUCUCAUUCUUUUUCUGGCUACAUAGUAUUCCAUAGUGUAUAUGCACCACAUUUUCUGUAUCUAGUCUACCAUUGAUGGGCAUUUAGGAUGAUUCCAUACCUUUGCUAUUGUGAUUAGUGCUGUGAUGAAUUUGCAUGCAUGUGUCUUUAUGGUAGAAUGAUUUAUAUUCCUUUGGGAAUGUACUCAAUAAAUAAUGGGAUUGCUGGGUCAAGUGGUAAUUCUGCUUUGAGUUCUUUGAGAAAUCAUCAAACUGCUUUCCACCGUGGCUGAACUAAUUUACACUCCCACCAGCAGUAUAUGAGCAUUCCCUUUUCACCACAACCCCACCAGCAUCUGUUAUCUUUUGACUUUUUAGUAAUAGCCAUUAUGACUGUUGUGACAUGGUAUCUCAUUGUGGUUUUGGUGUGCAUUUCUCUAAUAAUUAGUGACACUGAGUAUUUUUUCAUAUGCUUGUUGACUGUGUAUGUCUUCUUUUCAGAAUUAUCUGUUCAUAUCCUUUGCCCACUUUUUAAUGGGGUUGUUUUUUUCUUGUAAUUUUGUUUAAGUUCUUUGUAGAUGCUGCAUAUCAGGCUUUGUCAGAUGGGUAGAUUGCAAAAAUUUCUCCCAUUCUGUAGGUUGUCUGUGUACUACUUUGAUAGUUUCUUUUUGCUGUGUAGAAGCUCUUUAGUAUAAUUAAGUCCCAGUUUCAAUUUUUGUGUUUGUUUUGCAAUUGCUUUUGGAGGUUUCAUCAUGAAAUCUUUGCCAGAGCUUAUGUCCAGAAUAGUAUUUCCUAAGUUAUCUUCUAGAGUUUUUAUAGUUUUAAAUUUUGCAUUUAAGUCUUUAAUCCAUCUUGAGUUGAUUUUUGUAUAUGGUGUGAGGAAGGGGUCUAGUUUCAAUCUUUUGCAUAUAGCUAACCAUUUAUUCCAGCACCAUUUAUUGAAUAGAGAGUCCUUUCUCCAUUGCUUGUUUUUGUCACCUUUGUCAAAGAUCAGAUGGUUGUAGGUGUGCAGCAUUAUUUCUGGGCUUUCUAUUCUGUUCCAUUGGUCUAUGUGUUUGUUUUUGUACAAGUAUCAUGCUAUUUUGAUUGUGUAGCCUUGCAGUAUAGUUUGAAGUUGGGUAAUGUGAUACCUCCAGCUUUGUUCUUUUUGCUUAGGAUUACUCUGGCUAUUUGAGCUCUUUUUUGGUUCCAUAGGAAUUUUAAGAUAGUUUUUUUCUACUUCUGUGAAGAAUGCCAUUGGUAGUUUGAUAGGAAUAGCAUUGAAUCUGUAAAUUGCUUUGGGCAGUAUGGCAUUUUAACAAUAUUGAUUAUUCCUAUCCAUGAGCAUGGAAUGUUUUUCCAUUGUUUGUGUCAUCUCUGAUUUCUUUGAGCAGGCUUUGGUAAUUCUCAUUGUAAAGAUCCUUUCACUUCCCUGAUUAGUUGUAUUCCUAGGUAUUUUUUUUUAUGGCUACUGUGAAUGGGAUUGUGUUCUUGAUACAGCUCUCAGCUUGAAUGUUAUUGGUGUAUAGGAAUCCGACUGAUUUUUACAUUGAUUUUGUAUCCUGAGACUUUGUUGAAGUUGUUUAUCAAGUCAAGGAGCUUUUGGAUAGAGACUAUAGGGUUUUCUAGGUGUAGAAUCAUAUUGCAUAAAUUGACUAAAUUUCAUAAAUCAGAUUAAAAAAUGCAACAUGUCCUGAGCUGAAUAAAUAAUUCCACACCUAAACACGUCUUGAUGAACUUCAGAACACCACAGGCAAACAGAUCUUAUAAGCAACCAGAGGAAAAGACAUAGCUCUCCUACAAAAGGAUAACCAUUAAACCAAAAGAAGGCUCAUCAGCCAAAAUAGAUGUUAGAAUAUAAUAGAAUAAUAUUUUCAAAGUGCUGAGGGAAAAUCAUUGUUAAUAAAUAUUCUAUACUUAAACUAUAUUUCAAGAGGCAAAAUAAAAAAAGACACUUAAAGACUGAGUUAGUUUGCCACCAACAAAGUUCUUGAUUGAAAACAUCCUGUGUAAGAGGUGCUUCAGGAAGAAGGAAACUGAACUCAGAAGGAAGGGGUGAGCUGUGAGAAUGAAGGUGAAUGUGCGGCUCCAUGUGUAUAAGCAUCAUCCACGUAAAACCACGGAGGCGGUGACUGUGAAGGGUGGCAAAGUCAAGAUGGAACUCGAUCGCUGCACAACAUAAUAUGUCACAUGGGAAGAGGAUGUCUGUACUUAAAUCACUGUAAAGUCAUCUAAGGUUAGAGACAUUGACAAUCUUCAGACUUUAAGUAUGUUUUUGACUAUGCUGAGGUAAUCAAGAAAAUCUUAAUUUCAGGGUAACUUUGUUUAAAGGGAUGACUUAGCAAUCCAGGCUUCUUCCACUUAGUGAGGCCACUGUCUUUGAUGCACCCACAGCUGCUGUGCAUGCUGCUAACAGCGGAGUGAGUGCAAGAUUGCGGAGGACAUGUGCAGCUAGGCUUGGAAGUGCAGACAUCAGGUGUGGCCUCAUCCUUUGCCAGGUGCCAUUCUCAUCAUCCCAAACUCAUUGCCCUACUUUUGUGUAACUAGAAAUAGGGACAGCUUGUCAAAAUACUAAAACGCUAAACACUAAAAGAAUAGAGGUAGGAUCUGUAGCUUGCAAAUAAGUAGAGGAAAGAAAAAGAAUAAAUAAAACUUGGUGAAAUUGGUGAAAUCAAUAGAAAGCAAAAAGGAGGAAAAAAGCAUAGAAAAAAAUGAAGAGAAAGUGCAAAAUAAAAUAGCAGAAUAAGCACAAUAAAUAACAAUUACAUUAAACUUACCAGUUAUUAUGCAGAGAUUAUCAGAAUAGAUAAGAAACUCUUUACAGUCAAAGGCAAAAACUAAAACACAAAGCCAGCUGGAUGUAAUUUGUAAGGAACAAAUCUAAAAAAGAUUGAAAAGUAAGAAUAUAAAGAAUAUAAAGAAGAUAAAGAUAUACCAGCUAAAUAACCAAAGAAAGCUAGUCUAACCAUAUUCAUUGCAAUAGAUCCUUAAGGCAAAAAACACUGUUAAGGCUGAUGAGGGUUACUACAUUUGGAUAAAAGGAAUAAUUCAGGAGGAAAAUAUAAGAAUUAAGAAGUCUGAACUUUUAGUCACCUAAUAAUGCAGCUUGUAUUUAAACGGCUAAAAUUGUCAUCAUCACAAGGUUAAAUUGACAAAUCCCUGUUGUAGUGAGAGUUUUUUAGCACAUCUGUCAGUGAUCAGUAAAUGAUGCAAAAUAAAAAUUGGUCAGGCUGUAGUAGAUUUGAGCAACACACUUAUUUUACCUGUAUAGAACCUGCUCCCAACAGAAAGAAUACACAUUUAGGAGGAUUCUGCCAUAAUUUUUUCAAGAGAUGAAAUGAACCUCGACCAAAACAAUCACAAUGAAUUAAAAGCAAAGAACUGGAAAAGUAACAGGAUUUGCUAUUUACUAAAUAUGGGAGUUGAGGAGGGAAAAGGUGGAAUGGAAAAUUAUUAAGGCCAGCCGGCUGGAUCGUGAUGCUGUAAACGGUGAGAACAAAAAGGAUUGAGGAGGAAGUUUGGGCAGAGGGGAGGAUGAUGAGUCCAGGGGAGAUCUUUUGAGUUUAAAGUGCAUUUUAUGGAGAAAGCUGAAUAUCAGCUCCCCGGGCUGUUCCAUUUGAAUAAUCUUCUCUGGCUUUCCAUAUACGUGUGUUCAGAAAUAAUAUUGCUGAUUCAUCCGUAUUUAAUAGAUAACUCUUAGUGGAAAUGCUACUUGAUCAAUCAGGUAAUACUUAGGGGGCUUAUGUUGGAACAGCUAAUUUUAUUAUGCACUAUUUAUUAUUAAUUGAUUAGGGCUCUUAAGUGGGUAAGAGCUUUUCCUUUCAAGUGGGUUAUAGAAGUAACUAUUGAUGCCCUAAAGCUGAUCUAUAAGAUGAAUCAGAUAAUAAUAAUAAGAAGAAGCUAUCAUUUGUAAGUAUGUACAAGCUCUUCCACAUAUGCUAUUAUUAUUUUCACAGCAAGGCCAGGAGGUAGAUAGAAUAGGAUAUAUAUUACUAUACUGAUUUUGCAGAUGAGGAAAUUGAAGAUAAAAUCACACAAGUGUAUUCUCUGACCUUCAAAUCCUGUUGGUUUUAUAAUUUAGACUUUCCAAGAUGGUUGCAGCCUGAAAAGGUUGAAAUGAAAAAAACAGCCACUUCUGUUUUUCUUUGGUGCUUAAUUCAGGGUGCUUUGCUCCCCAUCUUAUCUCUUGCCCCGGGCUUGCUGUUUUGAGGUCUUUAUUUCUCAGGAGGCUUUUUU
RNA transcript from Symphalangus syndactylus (siamang), 26444 nucleotides. It is a transcript of the gene named putative methyltransferase-like protein 21E, with no coding region annotated. The record is from RefSeq and is a predicted model, not a curated record. NCBI's taxonomy places the organism in Eukaryota, Metazoa, Chordata, Mammalia, Primates, Hylobatidae.